AACGAACACUGGCGGCAUGCCUAACACAUGCAAGUCGAACGAGACCUUCGGGUCUAGUGGCGCACGGGUGCGUAACGCGUGGGAACCUGCCCUUAGGUUCGGAAUAACUCCCCGAAAGGGGUGCUAAUACCGGAUAAUGUCUUCGGGCCAAAGAUUUAUCGCCUUUGGAUGGGCCCGCGUUGGAUUAGCUAGUUGGUAGGGUAAAAGCCUACCAAGGCGACGAUCCAUAGCUGGUCUGAGAGGAUGAUCAGCCACACUGGGACUGAGACACGGCCCAGACUCCUACGGGAGGCAGCAGUGGGGAAUAUUGGACAAUGGGCGAAAGCCUGAUCCAGCAAUGCCGCGUGAGUGAUGAAGGCCUUAGGGUUGUAAAGCUCUUUUACCCGGGAUGAUAAUGACAGUACCGGGAGAAUAAGCUCCGGCUAACUCCGUG
RNAcentral lists this ribosomal RNA (433 nucleotides) under uncultured bacterium. RNAcentral describes it as "partial 16S ribosomal RNA". It matches the Rfam family "Bacterial small subunit ribosomal RNA", at positions 29 to 507 of the family's 1533-position model. The record is from RNAcentral.